This 1760-nucleotide ribosomal RNA is filed under the name metagenome. RNAcentral describes it as "bacterial LSU rRNA". It matches the Rfam family "Bacterial large subunit ribosomal RNA", at positions 1165 to 2925 of the family's 2925-position model. The record is from RNAcentral.
AAAAAAUGUAACGGGGCUAAGCAUGCUGCCGAAGCUUCGGAUUUGUCUCUGACAACUGGUAGGGGAGCGUUCUCUGUGGGCUGAAGCGGAACCGAAAGGUUUCGUGGACUGCAGAGUAGUGAUUAUGCUGACAUGAGUAACGAUAAAAUAUGUGAAAAACAUAUUCGCCGUAAAUCCAAGGUUUCCUGGGUAAAGGUAAUCUUCCCAGGGUUAGUCGGACCCUAAGGCCAGGCUGAAAGGCGUAGCUGAUGGGAAACGGGUUAAUAAUCCUGUACUUGUGCGAUUGUGCGAAGAAGGGACGCAGGAUGGUAGACAGGCCGGUUUUUGGAAUCCGGUGCAAGUGCGUAGGUAUGCUCCGCAGGCAAAUCCGCGGGGAUGAGCCGAGACACGAGUCCGUGGGCGCAAGCCCUGAAGCUGUUGAGCCACGGCUGCCAAGAAAAGCUUCUAAGUUUAGAUCGCGCGAACCGUACCGCAAACCAACUCAGGUGGAUGGGAUGAAUAAUCCAAGGCGCUCGAGAGAACUCUGGCCAAGGAACUCGGCAAAUUGACCCCGUACCUUCGGAAUAAGGGGUGCUCCCCAUGGUGAGGCAGAUUCCUGCUCAGCCUCAGGGAGCCGCAGAGAAAUGGUGGUGGCGACUGUUUACUAAAAACAUAGGUCUGUGCGAAGUCCUACAGACGACGUAUACGGACUGACGCCUGCCCGGUGCCGGAAGGUUAGAAGGAGGAGUCAGCGCAAGCGAAGCUCCGAUUUGAAGCCCCGGUAAACGGCGGCCGUAACCAUAACGGUCCUAAGGUAGCGAAAUUCCUUGUCGGGCAAGUUCCGACCUGCACGAAUGGCGUAACGAUCUCCACGCUGUCUCGGCCAGAGACUCGGUGAAAUUGAAGUCGCGGUGAAAAUGCCGUGUACCCGCAGAAAGACGGAAAGACCCUGUGCACCUUUACUAUAGCUUGACAUUGGGUUUUGAACCUGCAUGUGUAGGAUAGGUGGGAGGCUGUGAAAGCUGUACGCCAGUAUGGCCGGAGCCACCCGUGAAAUACCACCCUUGUUUGUUCAGGACCCUAACUCGCAGCUGUAAUCCAGCGCGAAGACAGUGUCUGGUGGGUAGUUUGACUGGGGCGGUCGCCUCCUAAAGAGUAACGGAGGCAUGCAAAGGUUCCCUCAGGCUGAUUGGAAACCAGCCGUUGAGUGCAAGCGCAUAAGGGAGCUUGACUGCAAGAGAGACAUCUCGAACAGAUACGAAAGUAGGUGCUAGUGAUCCGGUGGUCCCGAAUGGAAGGGCCAUCGCUCAUUGGAUAAAAGGUACGCCGGGGAUAACAGGCUGAUCGCAUCCAAGAGUUCACAUCGACGAUGCGGUUUGGCACCUCGAUGUCGGCUCAUCACAUCCUGGGGCUGAAGCAGGUCCCAAGGGUACGGCUGUUCGCCGUUUAAAGUGGUACGCGAGCUGGGUUUAAAACGUCGUGAGACAGUUUGGUCCCUAUCUUCUGUGGGCGUAGGAGAAUUGAGAGGGUUUGUCCCUAGUACGAGAGGACCGGGAUGAACGCACCACUGGUGGAUCAGUUGUCGCGCCAGCGGCAUAGCUGAGUAGCUAUGUGCGGAAUGGAUAACCGCUGAAAGCAUCUAAGCGGGAAGCCAGCCUCGAGAUAAGUUCUCCCUGUCGCAAGACACUAAAGGGCCGGUGAAGACUACAUCGUUGAUAGGCCGGAGGUGGAAGCGCUGCGAAGCGUGGAGCUGACCGGUACUAAUAGCCCGUGCGCCUUAU